UGAGCAAUCUGCCCUUCUCAUCGGAAUAAGCGUUGGAAACGACGUCUAAUGCCGAAUACGACCUCCUUUCGCAUGAUCGGAGGUGGAAAGCUCCGGCGGAGAAGGAUGAGCUCGCGGCCUAUCAGCUAGUUGGUGUGGGUAAUGGCCCACAAGGCGACGACGGGUAGCCGGCCUGAGAGGGUGACCGGCCACACGUGGGACUGAGACACGGUCCAGACUCCGUA
Molecule: ribosomal RNA, 224 nt
Filed under: uncultured bacterium
Lineage: Bacteria
Description: partial 16S ribosomal RNA
Rfam family: Bacterial small subunit ribosomal RNA
Source: RNAcentral